This 627-nucleotide ribosomal RNA is filed under the name Hymenoplia escalerai. Its description in RNAcentral is "partial 16S ribosomal RNA". It matches the Rfam family "Bacterial large subunit ribosomal RNA", at positions 1819 to 2732 of the family's 2925-position model. The record is from RNAcentral. Lineage: Eukaryota; Metazoa; Arthropoda; Insecta; Coleoptera; Scarabaeidae.
GUCUUUUUGAUUAUAAUAUAAAGUCUGACCUGCCCAAUGAAAAUUUAAAUGGCCGCGGUAUUUUGACCGUGCAAAGGUAGCAUAAUAAUUAGUUUUUUAAUUGAAAGCUGGAAUGAAUGGUUGGACGAGAAAAUAACUGUCUCAAAUUAAUUUAAUUAGAAUUUUAUUUUUAAGUUAAAAAGCUUAAAUUUUUUUAAAAGACGAGAAGACCCUAUAGAGUUUUAUAUAUUUAUAAUUAAAUUUAAUUUAGUAUUUUAGUAUUUUUAUUUUUAAAUGUAUUUUAUUGGGGUGAUAAAAAAAUUAAUAAAACUUUUUUUUUAUAAUAACAUUGAUAUAUGAAUCAUUGAUCCAUUUUUUAUGAUUAAAAGAUUAAGUUACCUUAGGGAUAACAGCGUAAUUUUUUUUUAGAGUUCUUAUCGAAAAGAGAGAUUGCGACCUCGAUGUUGGAUUAAAAUUAAUAUUUGGUGUAGAGGCUAAGUUAUUAGGUCUGUUCGACCUUUGAAAUUUUACAUGAUCUGAGUUUAAACCGGUGUGAGCCAGGUUGGUUUCUAUCUUUAAAUAAUUAAAAUAUUUUAGUACGAAAGGACCAAAUAUUUAUAAAAUUUAUUGAAUUUUGAAUGAUAUUAG